GGAAAUGGAAGUUAUUCGUUGGUGAAGGGAUUAGAAACGACCCCGAAGGUUCUUUAACAAAUGUUUAAUACUCAUACUGUAACCUCAAAUUUAGCCCAUAGACAAGCAAAUUGCACAUUUCAACAAGCUGUCUGGAGUUUUGUCUGGAGGUAAUAAUAACAUUCUCCUGAAACACAUUACUUGGCUGAAUGAAAAGCAGAUGGACUCCUUUAUUCCAGGAAACUCCUGUCACGAGAGGCUCUGAAGAGAGGGACACAGACAGAGAAAGGAAAAUAUGCGCAUUUUGUCUCAAAGCAGCAGAGUACACGGUGAGCAAGACAAAGGCUGCAAGAAAUGAAACUCUUAAGAUGUUUAGAUGAAGUGGGACAAAGAGGUGAACCAGACUCAUCUGAAAAAAGCCCGUCCUCCUCUGGUAAAAAAAUCCUCACAUGUCUGGUCUGGAUCGGUUCCCCUUAUGCGGUUCCCCUUAUAAUGAUCUGCCCGCUGCUACAAGAUCUACAGGUUCUGUGGCCAUCUUUAAGAAUCGUCUGAAAACACAUCUCUUCCGUCAACACCUGACCGAUCAGUUCUGACUUCUAUUUCUUUUCUACUCUUUUAAAAAAGAAAUAAAAAAAACCUUCUAACUUAGUUCUGUAUACUGGUAGGCUAUUUGAGACCAGUCUUUUUGAUUGCACUUAUGCUUUUUGUUGUCCUCAAGCUGUCCCAAGUGCUUCCAUUGUUUACCCCAUCCUU
Long non-coding RNA from Triplophysa dalaica, 732 nucleotides. RefSeq lists it as uncharacterized. NCBI's taxonomy places the organism in Eukaryota, Metazoa, Chordata, Actinopteri, Cypriniformes, Nemacheilidae. The transcript is spliced from 4 exons. The record is from RefSeq and is a predicted model, not a curated record.